RNAcentral lists this ribosomal RNA (386 nucleotides) under uncultured methanogenic archaeon. RNAcentral describes it as "bacterial SSU rRNA". It matches the Rfam family "Archaeal small subunit ribosomal RNA", at positions 40 to 437 of the family's 1478-position model. The record is from RNAcentral. Lineage: Archaea; Methanobacteriati; Methanobacteriota.
UCGAUUAGCAUGCGAGUCGAGAGGUGCAAGACCUCGGCGCACUGCUCAGUAACACGUGGACAACCUACCCUGUGGAGGGGGAUAACCCCGGAAAACUGGGGAUAAUACCCCAUAGGUUAGGGAGGCUGGAAUGCCCCCUAGCUCAAAGGUCCGCCGCCACAGGAUGGGUCUGCGGCCGAUUAGGUUGUUGUUGGGGUAACGGCCCAACAAGCCUUUGAUCGGUACGGGUUGUGGGAGCAAGAGCCCGGAGAUGGAUUCUGAGACACGAACCCAGGCCCUACGGGGCGCAGCAGGCGCGAAAACUUUACAAUGCGAGAAAUCGUGAUAAGGGAACCCCGAGUGCCCGUAAAUUCGGGCUGUCCGCCAGUGCAAAAAACUGGUGAAGA